GACAGAGGAUGCAAGCGUUGUCCGGAAUCACUGGGCGUAAAGGGCGCGUAGGCGGCUCAUGAAGGCUGUGGUGAAAGUCCGGGGCUCAACCUCGGAUCGGCCGUGGCGACUCGUGGGCUGGAGCACUGUAGAGGCGGGUGGAAUUCCGGUGUAGCGGUGAAAUGCGUAGAGAUCGGAAGGAACGUCAAUGGCGAAGGCAGCCACCUGGCAUAAUACUGACGCUGAGGCGCGAAAGCGUGGGUAGCGAACAGG
This 252-nucleotide ribosomal RNA is filed under the name uncultured bacterium. Its description in RNAcentral is "partial 16S ribosomal RNA". It matches the Rfam family "Bacterial small subunit ribosomal RNA", at positions 524 to 776 of the family's 1533-position model. The record is from RNAcentral.